CUCAACGGUAAAAUGGCCUUCGAUACUGAGUUUCUUGAGUCCAGAAGAGGUUGGUGGAAUUCGUGGUGUAGCGGUGAAAUGCAUAGAUAUCACGAAGAACACCGGUGGCGAAGGCGGCCAACUGGUCUGGUACUGACGCUGAGGCACGAGAGCGUGGGGAGCGAACAGGAUUAGAUACCCUGGUAGUCCACGCCGUAAACGAUGCAUGCUAGUUGUUGGCCCUUUGGGGCCAGUGACGCAGUUAACGCAGUAAGCAUGCCACCUGGGGAGUACGUUCGCAAGAAUGAAACUCAAAGGAAUUGACGGGGGCCCGCACAAGCGGUGGAGCAUGUGGCUUAAUUCGAUGCAACGCGAAGAACCUUACCCGGGCUAAAUCACCGGCGACCGGCCCUGAAAGGGGCCUUCCCUUCNGGGCGC
Molecule: ribosomal RNA, 417 nt
Filed under: uncultured Bacteroidota bacterium
Lineage: Bacteria; Pseudomonadati; Bacteroidota
Description: bacterial SSU rRNA
Rfam family: Bacterial small subunit ribosomal RNA
Source: RNAcentral